Long non-coding RNA from Gasterosteus aculeatus aculeatus (three-spined stickleback), 763 nucleotides. Lineage: Eukaryota; Metazoa; Chordata; Actinopteri; Perciformes; Gasterosteidae. The record is from Ensembl.
CUCUGAUAUGAACCCGGGUCUUCCUGCCAGUCAGCGCCAGAUCGUUCCGCCGUCAGAGUGGUAAACUCCCUAUUCAGGCCAUCUCGCUGCUCACUGAGAAUUGAUGCUGUCUUUGUUCACCUUUUUCCUGUGUUUGCCCUAGUGCUCGAGGAUUCCUACCUGCCGGCAGGCGGGCUCUGAGAGGCCAUUCUUCCCUGCAGAAUCAACCCGUCCUCGUGCGCCACUUUAUAUAUAUAUAUAUAUGUUUGAAUAAAUACCUUAUUUUUCCAGUCGGAAGAACCUCCCUGUGACUCCUGUGUGCUGCCACUAGGACACUCACUAAGGAGCCACCAGGCUUUCAGCAUCUGGCCAUAGGACACUGACUAAGGGGCCACCAGGCUUUCAGCAUCUGGCCAUAGGACACUCACUAAGGAGCCACCAGGCUUUCAGCAUCUGGCCGUAAGACACUCACUUAGGAGCCACCAGGCUUUCAGCAUCUGGCCAUAGGACACUCACUAAGGAGCCACCAGGCUUUCAGCAUCUGGCCGUAGGACACUCACUUAGGAGCCACCAGGCUUUCAGCAUCUGGCCAUAAGACACUCACUAAGGAGCCACCAGGCUUUCAGCAUCUGGCCAUAGGACACUUACUAAGGAGCCACCAGGCUUUCAGCAUCUGGCCGUAGGACACUCACUAAGGAGCCACCAGGCUUUCAGGAUCUGGCCGUAGGACACUCACUAAGGAGCCACCAGGUUUUCAGCAUCUGGCCAUAAGACACUUACUAAG